UUCCAGACUCCUACGGGAGGCAGCAGUGGGGAAUAUUGAGCAAUGGGCGCAAGCCUGACCCAGCAACGCCGCGUGAAGGAAGAAGGCUUUCGGGUUGUAAACUUCUUUUGACAGGGAAGAGCAGAAGACGGUACCUGUCGAAUAAGCCACGGCUAACUACGUGCCAGCAGCCGCGGUAAUACGUAGGUGGCAAGCGUUGUCCGGAUUUACUGGGUGUAAAGGGCGUGUAGCCGGGCUUACAAGUCAGAUGUGAAAUCCGGGGGCUCAACCCCCGAACUGCAUUUGAAACUGUAGGUCUUGAGUAUCGGAGAGGCAGGCGGAAUUCCUAGUGUAGCGGUGAAAUGCAUAGAUAUCACGCAGAACUCCGAUUGCGAAGGCAGCAUACCGGCGCCCAACUGACGCUGAAGCACGAAAGCGUGGGUAUCGAACAGGAUUAGAUACCCCUGUAAG
This 450-nucleotide ribosomal RNA is filed under the name uncultured bacterium. RNAcentral's name for it is "bacterial SSU rRNA". It matches the Rfam family "Bacterial small subunit ribosomal RNA", at positions 329 to 793 of the family's 1533-position model. The record is from RNAcentral.